GUAUCCGGAUUUAUUGGGUUUAAAGGGAGCGUAGAUGGAUGUUUAAGUCAGUUGUGAAAGUUUGCGGCUCAACCGUAAAAUUGCAGUUGAUACUGGAUGUCUUGAGUGCAGUUGAGGCAGGCGGAAUUCGUGGUGUAGCGGUGAAAUGCUUAGAUAUCACGAAGAACUCCGAUUGCGAAGGCAGCCUGCUAAGCUGCAACUGACAUAGAGGCUCGAAAAUGUGGGUAUCAAACAGGAUUAGAUACCCUGGUAGUCCACACGGUAAACGAUGAAUACUCGCUGUUUGCGAUAUACGGCAAGCGGCCAAGCGAAAGCGUUAAGUAUUCCACCUGGGGAGUACGCCGGCAACGGUGAAACUCAAAGGAAUUGACGGGGGCCCGCCCAAGCGAAGGAACAUGUGGUUUAAUU
RNAcentral lists this ribosomal RNA (408 nucleotides) under uncultured bacterium. RNAcentral's name for it is "bacterial SSU rRNA". It matches the Rfam family "Bacterial small subunit ribosomal RNA", at positions 541 to 951 of the family's 1533-position model. The record is from RNAcentral.